Molecule: long non-coding RNA, 4326 nt
Filed under: Sus scrofa (pig)
Lineage: Eukaryota; Metazoa; Chordata; Mammalia; Artiodactyla; Suidae
Description: lncRNA (ENSSSCG00000052171.1)
Source: RNAcentral
AUAAUCUUGGGUAUGGUUAAAAUCUUCACAGCAUAGUCACUUAAAUUCUAAGAUACUCAAAAAAGGUUUGUGUCACUACAUUAGGCAUCAUCCAUGAAAAUCCGUGAGAAAAUACUAGUAAAAAGAUUUGCUUUUCAUGAAUUUUGUCAUGUCUUAUCUCAAAUCAAUUAAUUCAUAUAGAAAAACUCCAAAUUAGCAUAGUCAAAUAAUAAUAUUAAUCUAUAAUGUAUUUCAUAAGAAAUUCUUUAUAAUCCUUAGAUCUGAUUUUGGAAUUCAAAGGUUUAAUACUCAAUGAGAGAAUUCUUAGUGUGAUAAAUACUGAAAUACUAUUUUCAUAAUUAAAAUGAAUGUUGGAAAAUAUAUAAGUUUCUAACACAUUUAACGAGAACCUGCUGUGUACAGAAGCCCAUUGGAUAUAUGCCAUAGGGGAGGCUGGGCAUUUUUCCCAUUUAAAAGAUUCAUAUUCUACUAACAGUAAUAGAAUGAACCUAACUAUAAAACUUUAGUAAAUGAUCAGGGACCUCCACAUACAUACAAAAUGGUUUUUUUAUAAAGAAUAAUUCACUUCACAGAUAUUUUCUUCUUAAUAUUUGUAUCUCAGCUUUUUUGUUUGUAAAAUGUAAAUACAGUAAUAGUAUGGACAGGAACAUUAUAAAAUAUGAAUUAAUGAAAUUCAAGAUAAGAAAUUUUAUCCCCAAAAUGCCAAAGUACUCAAAAAGCACACAGCAAACAUUCAUUCAACCAUAAUUGAAACACUUUUCCAAAUAGUUUGUGACUUAAAAGAACUAAAAUGCCAGGGUAAAAAAAUUUUGAACAUCAUUUUUACAUUCUACAGUAUUCACUAUUCAUUCACACUGUUACAAAGCCCUCACUUAGUCCCUCUCUAGCCAAUAUUGCUCUGCUUCUGUAAUCACAGACUUACCUUUCCUCUGAAGCCUCGCCCUAUCUCAUUAAAUGGAAAAUAAGAUUAUUAACUUCAGAGCUUGUAAGAGAGUUGAGCCUCUUUCACUUCAUUAGCAUUCAUUAGCAGCACCUCCUCCUCCCCUAUGUUCUUACUAUUCCAUGUUUCUUGUUGCCUUUGGUGUGCUCUCUCCUCUGUUUCCUUGGUUUCUAACAGCAGAAGUGGCAUUUAGUGACCUACCCCGGUAUUGACAUUCAGUUACUGCCUCCAUUAAAGAUGGACUAAUUAGAGCGGCCCAUGUGUUGGCCCAGAAGUAAUUAAAGGAAAUGCAAGAAUCAAAGCAGGGCACUGAUUAUCUGAUGCUCUGGAAUAUGAAUUCAGCCUCACAUUUGGAAGUCGAGGUUAUGAUUAUUGACCUCGUUAUACAUUAGUAGUACUUUUAUAUCUGUAGUCAGUGAGUAGAUCCAUUUUAAUCAGUGCCGUGCCUGCAUAUGUGUGUGCAAAUGUGUGCAUGUAUGUUAGAAUGUAUUUGAUUUCUCCUUUGAAAAGAAUUUUAUAUGAGCAAACAUGAGAAGAUUUCAUUAGUGGAAAGUAUCAGCAAUACUGAGAUCAAGGAAAUAUCAGAUUGCUUACCAUCAGACUCAUCUAGUUUAUUAAAACUCUAAAGACUUUAAUUUACAUUAAAGUUCUUUUUACGAAUAGAAAUGCUUAAAAGAGUCCUCCUUGUAAUCCCCCCUACAUAAUUCUCAACUACCCUAUUUCUACACUGACUUAUCCUUUGGAUCAAUUCAUAGAACCUGCCUAGUCGAUGUCUGGGAACAUCCGAGACACCCUUUUAGGUAUCAGUUCACUCAAAGAGAUAGAGAACCCAUACUUGCCCCUCAGAUUUCUUAACUUGCAUUGCGUAACUGUCCGUGUGCUGACUCUGUCCAUCCUAUUGGCCAUCAAAGUGCUAUGAGCCACAUAAUGAAAUGACAUAUACAAAAGAAAUGGUCAAUUAACAUGUGAAAGAUGAGAGUGUGGAAAUUAAAGAAGCCUAAAGAUUAUACUUUUUUUAGGAGGAAAAGGGUAACACUGUAUUAGAGUACUGCUUCUAAAAGUUCAAUUUUCAUAAGACUCAACCUAAGGCGCUUGUUAAAAUGCCUACUCUGAUUCAGUAGGUCUGGCUUGGGGCCAGGGAUUUUUGCAUUUUUAGCAAAGUCCUAGAUGAUCUACAAAUUGUAUUUUGAGCAGCAAGAUGCUAGAUCCUUUGGUGACUUGGUCAAGAUGACCUCCUGUGACUUUGGUAAUAUUUUAAAAUUGGCGUGAUGGUGAUAGCAGUUCUAAGGAAGAAAGACAGAGAUGUGAGGUUUUUUAGGGAAAAAAAAAGUCUUGGGAUCUCUCUUUCCCUCUAAGUCUACAAGCCCUUGGGAAUCCCAGUGCUUCUUCACCUCCCUGAAAGGAAGGCAAACCCCUUCUUUGAAACUCCCUGUGCUCCUCUUUAAUGAUUGUGUCAAAUCACUCCAAGCUCCAUUAGGAUUAUGCACUUUUACGAAAUAUAAUCCUUACUAAGUCAUAAUUUUAUUUUCACAUAAAAGUUUGCUUCUUAGAGUAUAUUCUGUAUCAGGUAGGCUAAUAACAAAAAUAAGUUCUUAAAAUGAUGCAGCUGUAGGCAGAUGUCCUAUGCCCAUGUGUCUAUAGUGUGAGUAUAGCCUCUUCUACUCUUCAGUUCUGGGCAUUUUAAAUUCCCAUUAGUGCGGAGAAUUACUGCUUUCAGUUUAUCAUUAUUUCUUCAAAUAUUAUUUUCUGCCCCCUCAUUUCCUUCUUCUCUCCUUUCCAAGCAUGUAUGUAUGUUAGAACAUCUGACAAUGACCCAAAAGUACCCAAAUUUUUGCCAUUAUUGUUCAAUAAUUUUGGUUCUCUGUCCUUCAGAUUGAAUAGUUUUUAAUGAUCUAUCUUCAUAUUCAUGAAUUUAUUCUUCUGUCCUAUCAACUUCAUUCUGCUAAGCCCAACUAGUGAAUUUCUAAUUCAGACUGGGUUUUUCAGAUAUAGAAACUAUAUUUGGUUCUUUAUACAAUUUAUAUUUCUUUGAUUCAAUGUGAAUAUGUUUUUCUUUACAUCACUGAGAAUAGCUUAACAGCUACUUUAAAAUCCUUUUCUGCUGAUUCCAUCUGGGUCAUAUCACAGUUGGACUCUCUUGAAUGAUUUUUUUCCCCCUCUCUCAAGACUGGUUUACAUUUUCCUGCUUCUUUGUAAUUAUGGUCAUACCCUAGAUGUUGGCAAUGUUAUGUUGUGGAUGCUCAGGAUUCUGGCAAAUUUUUCCAAAAAAAUGUUAAUUUUUUUAUUCAUUCAUAUUAGAAUGCAGUUAAUUUGUAUAGACUCAAACUUCAAACAUCUCUUCAACAUCAGCUUAAAUCUCAUUUCAAUUCUUUAUCCUUAACUGGGCUGCUUACAACCUACCUGAGCAACAAAUGUCAUGAGUCAGCUGAAAACCAGGCAGAAAAAAACAGAGUUUGGGUCUCUUGGUCUCUUUCUCCCUCUCUCUUUCUCCAUCUCCCAGUUCUCACUUUCUGACUGCUAUGUUGCUCUAGUUCCUGUUCUCCAGAAACAGGAGUUACUGGGGUUUGAGCUACCCGUGCAGUAUGAACCUUUCAUUCUAAGAUCUAUAAAAAUGGGAAAAUUACCUGUGACGUUCCCUCCUUUCAAAUGUUGACGCCUUUUCGAAAAUUUUCUGCUUUUGUUUGUCUUCCAGUACCUUCGGGUGGUUGAUUUUUUUUUUUAAUUUCUUCAUUUUUUCUUUUUUUGGUGUUUUGUCCAAAUCAAUAGGAAGUUUGAUCUUUAGGAGCUCACUCAGCCAUACCAAUAGCAGAACUUCAAUUUACUAUACAUUUAGAUCUAUUUAUUAUACGUAUAUAUCCCUAAUAAUAUAAGAAUUUAGACCAGAAUUUGGUGCUCCCAAAAUAAUACAUAAAAUAUCUAGCACUGGCUUAGUGGUUAGAUACAGAUAUUGUAAGUUGAAAGUCCCAACCUAUCCCCCACCGCCACCCCCAGAUACCCAGGGAAAACUGGGUGAGUAAUUUUCAGUCAGUUUCAACCUAUUGCCAGAAUUUUGCCCCUAACUCUGAGCUUUAGACUUCUAUAUCCAACUACAUAACCUGCAUCUCUAUUUCGACAUCUAUCAGGCAUUUCAAAUUCAACUUGCCAAAAAUAAAAUUCUUGAUUACUCUCGUACCAACCUUAAAAUUGCUCCACUCCCAGUAUCCCCUGCUAUUGCAAUGUUCAGCUAAUCCUCUUAGCUGAGACUUUCAAAAUAUACCUGACCCUGCUCUACACUACUCCCAUUUUAAGCCAAACCACUAUCAUCUCUCAACUGAACCACUGAAAUUGCCUCAUAAUAUUCUUGUUGUUUUCACUCUUACAUACCUACAAUCAACUUUCCUUAAAGC